GUGAGGAGGCUGCGGGUGCACUGGGAGCUGGGAGGGGACGCAGCCAGGACAGCUGGCCCAAACUGGCCAGAGCCAUGUCCCAUACCGUAUGGGGUCGUGCUCAAGACUGGGACUGAGCGGGUUGGCCAGAGUGUGGGGGAGGAAGAACUUCUU
Oxyura jamaicensis (ruddy duck) is the source of this 153-nucleotide long non-coding RNA. RefSeq lists it as uncharacterized. The record is from RefSeq and is a predicted model, not a curated record. The transcript is spliced from 3 exons. NCBI's taxonomy places the organism in Eukaryota, Metazoa, Chordata, Aves, Anseriformes, Anatidae.